This is a long non-coding RNA of Megalobrama amblycephala (Wuchang bream), 1052 nucleotides long. RefSeq lists it as uncharacterized. The record is from RefSeq and is a predicted model, not a curated record. NCBI's taxonomy places the organism in Eukaryota, Metazoa, Chordata, Actinopteri, Cypriniformes, Xenocyprididae. The transcript has 3 exons.
UACUCUUACUUGCUCUUAAUGUUGUAAUUUCUGUUUUCAUAUUUUUUGACAUUUAGAUAAUUAUCUGUGUUUUUCUUCAGUUGUAAGAUAAAAUUGUUAUAUCUUGUUCCUAGACCAGUGUCAUAUCAGCCUAUGGUAAAUAAAUAUAUUCAUGAUAAUAAUACAUACAUUUUUCUAAUAAUAUAAAAUGUAUUCAUGCCACUGUUCUUUUAUAAAGUAAUAUAGUAUGAGAGCAGCGCUGUCUUGAAUAAUCACACAAACAUUUAAUCAGCUCACAGAUCUGAAUCUGUGAGCUGAAAAAAAAGAAAAAGUUUUAAAGAUCAUUCAUAUUUCCAUCGUAUUAAAUCAUCUGUAUGUUACACUCACCAUUCCUUCUUGAUUGACAAUAGUACAUUAAACCAGCAGCUGCAGCAACGAUCAGCAAAACAACAACAACAACAAAUAUUCCUGAUACAACAGCUGGAGACAGACCUGAAUCUGAAAUAAUACAGACAGACAGUCAUUAUUUAUUAGUAAAUGACUGAGAAAAAACUUUUCCUUUACACUUUGGUAAUCAGUUGCACAUUGAUUUAACUGAUAAAUGGCUCCAUCUGGUGGGUUUUUGAAGAACAGCAGCUAAAACAGCAUCACAACACUGUGAGAUCAACUGGAAAUAUCAGCACAGAAAAACUGACUAUUCCUCCAAUUAAUAAAAUACACAUCUCUACAAUCCUUAAUUGCAUCAAAAGAUUUGGUCUUACUUUGGAUUGAGAGCGUUGUAUGAUGAUCAGAGGUUUCAAGGUGGAGUCCACACCAGCUCAGUCAGAGUCCGGUGCUCUUGAGGCUCGAUGGAGUAAAUAAAUUACAGAACUUAUCCACUCAUAUUCCAGAGUGAGAACGCUCAGAUCUUCCACCCAGAUGAUAUUAAAUGUUCCAAAAUCCAGACUUAAAUCCAAAGGUGACAGAGCUUUCUCAGUUCAUGGUCCUAAGCUCUGGAAUUCCCUACCUGUGUCUAUUAGACUUUCCCCUACUCUUUCUACAUUUAAAUCUUCUCUCAAAACAUACUUUUUUUC